GGUUUUAUGGUGUAGUGGUUAGCACGAUGCUUUACACGCAGAAGGUCCUGGGUUCGCGCCCCAUUAGAGCCA
RNAcentral lists this transfer RNA (72 nucleotides) under Pteropus alecto (black flying fox). It matches the Rfam family "tRNA". Rfam says of the family: Transfer RNA (tRNA) molecules are approximately 80 nucleotides in length. Their secondary structure includes four short double-helical elements and three loops (D, anti-codon, and T loops). The record is from Rfam by way of RNAcentral. Lineage: Eukaryota; Metazoa; Chordata; Mammalia; Chiroptera; Pteropodidae.